GAAUCCAGAGAGUGAGUUUUCAUCAGAAACUGCAGUGACAGGACCAGGGAAAUGGGUACAGAGUGAAAGAGGAAAAAUUUAGGCUGGGUGUAGGAAGGAAUUCUUUGUGAAGGUUGUGAAGCACCUGCACAAGUUUCCCAGCUGAGGCUGCCCCAUCCCUGGAAGUGUCCCAGGCCAGGCUGGAUGGGGCUUGGAGCAACCUGGGGCAGUGGAAGGUGUCCAUGCCCAUGGCAGGGGAUGGCACUGGAUGAGACUUAAGGUCCUUUCCAAUGCAAAUCAUUCAUGGGUGAAAAUACAAACUAUUAGACUGCGUGUUUUUCAGUUGAAUUAGUGACUGUGCAAGUAUCUAACACCAAAUGAUGAGUUCACUGUAAUUAUGGGGUAAUCACAGAAUCACUGAGGCUGGAAAAGAGCUCCAAGAUCAUCAUGCUCCAGCUGUGCUUGAUCCCCACCUUGUCACCCAACCCAGAGCACUCAGUGCCAUGUCCCAUCGUUCCUGGGACACCUCCAGGGAUCGGGACUCCCAACACCUCCCUAGGCAGCCCCUCCCAAGGCCUGAAUGUCCUUUCUGUGAUGAAAUUGCUCCUAAAUUAGACAAGACAUGCCUACACCCACACCUCACACAGCACUGGGCUCUUCAGGACCCCAAACACAGCACCAGGCUCCCCGGGACCCCUCACAAAGCACCAGGAUCCACAAGACCCCGAACACAGCACCAGGCUCCCUGGGACCCCAAACACAGCACCAGGCUCCAUGAGACCCCCAAAUACAGCACUGGGCUCUUCAGGACCCUUCACACAGCACCAGGCUCCCUGGGAUCNUGGGACCCCAAACACAGCACCAGGCUCCAUGAGACCCCCAAAUACAGCACUGGGCUCUUCAGGACCCUUCACACAGCACCAGGCUCCCUGGGAUCUUCAAACACAGCACCAGGCUCCUCAGGACCCCAAACACAGCACUGGGCUCCCCAGGACCCCUCACACAGCACCAGGCUCCAUGAGACCCCAACAUACAGCACCAGGCUCCUCAGGACCUUCAAACACAGCACCAGGCUCCCUGGGACCCCAAACACAGCAGCAGGCUCUUCAGGACCCCCAAACACAGCACCAGGCUCCCUGGGAUCUUCAAACACAGCACCAGGCUCCCCUGGACCCCAAACACAGCACUGGUCUCCUCAGGACCCCCAAACACAGAACUGGGCUCCCCUGGACCCCAAACACAGCACCAGGCUCCAUGAGACCCCCAAAUACAGCACUAGGCUCCCUGGGACCCCCAAACAAAGCACCAGGCUCCCCGCGACCCUAAACACAGCACCAGGCUCCCCAGGACCUUCAAACACAGCACCAGGCUCCCUGGGACCCCAAACACAGCACCAGGCUCCCCGCGACCCCCAAACAAAGCACCAGGCUCCCCGGGACCCCCAAACACAGCACCGGGCUCCUUGGGACCCCAAACACAGCACCA
RNAcentral lists this long non-coding RNA (1464 nucleotides) under Lonchura striata (white-rumped munia). Its description in RNAcentral is "domestica (Bengalese finch) lncRNA (ENSLSDG00000012873.1)". Lineage: Eukaryota; Metazoa; Chordata; Aves; Passeriformes; Estrildidae. The record is from RNAcentral.